Molecule: ribosomal RNA, 423 nt
Filed under: uncultured bacterium
Lineage: Bacteria
Description: bacterial SSU rRNA
Rfam family: Bacterial small subunit ribosomal RNA
Source: RNAcentral
GGCCAGCAGCCGCGGUAAGACGAAGGAUGCAAGCGUUAUCCGGAUUCAUUGGGUUUAAAGGGUGCGUAGGCGGACUGAUAAGUCAGUGGUGAAAUCUCUCAGCUUAACUGAGAAACUGCCAUUGAUACUGUUAGUCUAGAGUAUAGAUGACGUUGGCGGAAUAUGACAUGUAGUGGUGAAAUACUUAGAUAUGUCAUAGAACACCGAUUGCGAAGGCAGCUAACGAAACUAUAACUGACGCUGAGGCACGAAAGUGCGGGGAUCAAACAGGAUUAGAUACCCUGGUAGUCCGCACCGUAAACGAUGAUUACUCGUUGUUGGCGAUAUGACAGUCAGCGACCAAGCGAAAGCGAUAAGUAAUCCACCUGGGGAGUACGCCGGCAACGGUGAAACUCAAAGGAAUUGACGGGGGCCCGCACAAGC